Long non-coding RNA from Thunnus maccoyii (southern bluefin tuna), 1741 nucleotides. RefSeq lists it as uncharacterized. The transcript is spliced from 2 exons. The record is from RefSeq and is a predicted model, not a curated record. Lineage: Eukaryota; Metazoa; Chordata; Actinopteri; Scombriformes; Scombridae.
UUGUUUUUAGCAAGGGAGCUAGCUAGCCAACAGGGGACUGUAGAUACUGGGUUUCGAGACGGUACCAACACCAACUACCAACUGAAGCCUAAUUUUAACAGCGGGUCCACUUGCUGGGCUUGUGUCAGUAAGAUUCACUGCUUGAUGUCCUUUCUGUGGGUAACCUCUGCUUAAACCAUAUCAACACUGCGGGCUCCGGGUUGGAGCCUCUGAGUCCACCCCAUCUAUAACCCAUGGCUCCACUCACCUCCUCAUCUGGCUGAAUCAGCUGCGGCCAUCUUGCUGAUAAGAUUGCAAAGUUGGAAGGAAGAAUCUCCAAACGCUACCAGACCCAGGAAGCUGAGAAAUUCAUGGACACCAUCAUUUUCAGCCCAGCACAAACAGACAUAACCUGUGGCCUGAUGCCACUGCUCCCUGUCACACAGAGGGAGAAGCUCCUCUCGUACACCUCCUAACUAUGACAUCCAGCUGGAAAAUAAAUUUGACAUCCUCAACCUGCGUGACUUUCCUCCUUUGGCUGGGGAAUCCCAGCCUCCUCCUCCAUCUCCCCUUCCCUCGUGUGGGUCCCAUAGCUCACUGUCACCUCUGAUCCCUGCACCAGCCAUACUUGGACACUCCUCCUGCCCCAGGGCUCGCCACUCCAUACCACACUUUAGACCAGUGCCAUGUGGGGCUCUGCCCCCCUCUCUGUCCACCCUUCUCUAUCCAUUCUGUGACCAACUGCAACUUCCUCCACCGACCACUCCCCGUCCAACCACGCUCAUUAUUGGAGUUUCAAUCAUGAGGACAUUAAGAAAAAAUCUGUGGUGACUGAUAUCCUAGAAAAGAUUCCCAGCAUCCUGGCUGAGCACCCCCUCGCCCAGGAUAUUGUCAACUAUGUCGGCUGCAAUGACAUUCUCAGUCAGACCUCAGAAAUACUAAAACGUGACUUCAGCAAACUCCUUGACUCCCUCACAGUCAAUUGUAAAUGGAUCUUUAUCUCCAGUCCCAUCUCCUCAGUCAACCCCAGUGUGGGCCAAUUUUGCUGCACUCUUAGCCUCCCUACCUGGCUGCAGUUAACCUGUACAGUUCACAAAAAGCUUUUGUUGACAAUUUUAACCUCUUCUGGAAAUGCCCAGCCUUCUUCCAUCAUGAUGGAAUCCCGCCCAAUGGCCUAGGCUCACUCACUUUAACUGACAAUUUAUUUUACACAAUCUAUAGCUCUCCCUCACCUUUUACCACAUGACCUCAUCCACUCCUGGUCACUUCAGGUCUCCACCAGCAAAACCACUCCCUCCCCUACAAACCAUAUUAGUUCCCCCUUGCAGGUAGGACUACCCUCUACCUGGGAGAAAACAACCUCCCCAAUACAAUAGCAACAGUGUCAAGACAAAGAUUAGAUAAGCAGGUCACAGUAAAAAUCUUCCAAUCCUACAAAUUUGAUUCACAUUCCCUGUAAGCCAAGUAUCUCAGGCCCUGCUCCAACAAAUUUAAUAUUAGGGCCCUGAUUAACCAGUCACUUUUAAUCGAUGAUUUUACCUUUUACAAGCUUGAUUUUAUGUUAUUAACAGACAUUUGGUUGGACACCAAGAAUGGCAAUGCUGUCCUUAUUGAAUCCACCCCACCAAAUAUCAUGUUUGAGUCUGAAGUACAAGAGAACAAUAAAGGACCGGGUGUUUCUGACUUUUUUACGGAUAUGUUCCUUUGUAAGAAGUUAUCAUUGGAGAGUUCUCAUCUUUUGAAUAAAAAAAUGGAAAUUAAA